Long non-coding RNA from Cydia splendana, 806 nucleotides. RefSeq lists it as uncharacterized. The record is from RefSeq and is a predicted model, not a curated record. The transcript has 3 exons. NCBI's taxonomy places the organism in Eukaryota, Metazoa, Arthropoda, Insecta, Lepidoptera, Tortricidae.
UUGACAGUGCGGCGACCAGCUCAAACAUUUUGAACCCACGCAUUGCACAGCUGGAUGACACUUAUCGGGUUCCUAGUCUAUUAGAGGAAGAAGAUACCCAUGAGUUACAAAUAUCGUUCGAUGUGGAAGAAGAGCUUCCUGACAAAACCGUCGGUCGAAGAAUUGUUGCAAUUAGUAAUUUUUUUACAAAAUUACAAUCGAUUUGCAAUCAUGGACCCUUAGGAUGCGGUAUUCAAGAAAUGCAGUUGGUUGGAGAAGUAAAACAUGGGCUAACAUCAAAAUUUAUGUUUCGGUGUCAACUAUGCAAGAAGAAAUUUUCUAUACCAAGUGAUGACUGUGGAGAAAAUUACUUGGGAGUAAACCAAUGUGCUGUUGCAGGCACUAUUGCAAUUGGUUGCGGACACUCACAGUUGCAAGAGAUGCUGUCUGCCAUAAACCUACCGUUGAUAUCCGACAAAACUUAUGCUGAAUGCCACGAUAAUUGUAGCGCGCAUUGGGAGCGUGUAUUAGAAGAAUCAAUGCAUAAAGCUGCUGAAGAAGAAAAACAAUUGGCAUUAGAAGAAGGUCGCGUAAAGAAUGGGAUUCCGAAAAUAGACGUAGUUGCUGAUGGCUGCUGGAGCAAGCGUUCGUAUAAAAAAAACUACAACGCAUCCUCUGGUGCCGCAUCAAUCAUCGGAAGAAGAACAGGAAAAAUUUUAUAUCUUGGCAUUAAAAAUAAAUAUUGUAGCACCUGCGCCUAUGCACAAAGAAAAGAAACAACUACUCCGGAGCAUGCAUGCUAUAAAAAUUUCAGUGGUUCUUCAACA